Molecule: ribosomal RNA, 372 nt
Filed under: uncultured organism
Description: bacterial SSU rRNA
Rfam family: Bacterial small subunit ribosomal RNA
Source: RNAcentral
CGGAGGGUGCGAGCGUUGUCCGGAAUCACUGGGCGUAAAGGGCGCGUAGGUGGCGCCGCAAGUCAACGGUGAAAGCUCGGCGCUCAACGCCGAGUCGGCCGUCGAGACUGCGGGGCUCGAGCACUGUAGAGGCAGAUGGAAUUCCGGGUGUAGCGGUGGAAUGCGUAGAGAUCCGGAAGAACACCGGUGGCGAAGGCGGUCUGCUGGGCAGUAGCUGACACUGAGGCGCGACAGCGUGGGGAGCAAACAGGAUUAGAUACCCUGGUAGUCCACGCCGUAAACGAUGGGCACUAGGUGCUUGGGGGAGCGACCCUCUGAGUGCCGACGCUAACGCAUUAAGUGCCCCGCCUGGGGAGUACGGCCGCAAGGCUG